Molecule: transfer RNA, 76 nt
Filed under: Rhizocola hellebori
Lineage: Bacteria; Bacillati; Actinomycetota; Actinomycetes; Micromonosporales; Micromonosporaceae
Description: tRNA-Pro
Source: RNAcentral
UGCCGUUGAGGUAUUGGUUGACCAGGCGGAUUCGGGUUCCGUCCACAAAGGAGCCGGUCGCGUCGGCCAGCGGCUC